CCAUGGUGCGUUCAACAUUUUCAAUUUCCACCCUUUAUGUUGGGCAAUUCAUGCAGUGAUCCAAAACUUACGAAUUUAAAUUUAGAAUUGGAGGGAGUAAUUUUUUUUUUGUUAAUAUGAGAUAAUUAGUUUUACUCUUCUAAGCUACACACAAAAUGCAAGGAGUAUUCCGGAUGCUCUUAAUUUGAAAGUUCGAGCUGGUAGAACCCUUUUGAAAUCGAGGUAGACUUUAGUGGAUAGGUUUGCGACUUUGUUCACCCGCCGCUGAAAUCGAGAUAGGCCACCACCCUCCGAAGGCUCACCACUCACGACCUCCGCACAAGUGAAAGUAGUGCGAAACCGGUACUCCUCAACCUGCAUGAUUGGAGCGUCAUCGCCACACCACCAGCAGUGCAAUGGCCA
Molecule: long non-coding RNA, 402 nt
Filed under: Brachypodium distachyon (stiff brome)
Lineage: Eukaryota; Viridiplantae; Streptophyta; Magnoliopsida; Poales; Poaceae
Description: long non-coding RNA (BDIS_LNC002674)
Source: RNAcentral